AGUUGAGAGGAUCAACCAGGGAUGGUACUGGAGUUCAUGACAGUAUUGUGAAUCAACUGCUUACAAAGAUAGAUGGUGUAGAGGCUUUGAAUAAUGUCUUGCUCAUUGGAAUGACCAACAGAAAGGAUUUACUUGAUGAAGCCCUAUUAAGACCAGGACGGUUGGAGGUUCAAGUUGAGAUAAGCCUGCCUGAUGAGAAUGGUCGUCUACAAAUUCUUCAAAUUCAUACAAAUAAAAUGAAGGAAAAUUCCUUUCUUGCUCCUGAUGUGAACCUUGCAG
Humulus lupulus (European hop) is the source of this 279-nucleotide long non-coding RNA. RefSeq lists it as uncharacterized. NCBI's taxonomy places the organism in Eukaryota, Viridiplantae, Streptophyta, Magnoliopsida, Rosales, Cannabaceae. The transcript is spliced from 3 exons. The record is from RefSeq and is a predicted model, not a curated record.